This 460-nucleotide ribosomal RNA is filed under the name uncultured bacterium. Its description in RNAcentral is "partial 16S ribosomal RNA". It matches the Rfam family "Bacterial small subunit ribosomal RNA", at positions 338 to 795 of the family's 1533-position model. The record is from RNAcentral.
CCUACGGGUGGCAGCAGGGAGGAAGAUUGGGCAAUGGGCGCGAGCCUGAACCAGCCAAGUAGCGUGAAGGAUGACUGCCCUACGGGUUGUAAACUUCUUUUAUAAAGGAAUAAAGUGAGGCACGUGUGCCUUUUUGUAUGUACUUUAUGAAUAAGGAUCGGCUAACUCCGUGCCAGCAGCCGCGGUAAUACGGAGGGUCCGAGCGUUAUCCGGAUUUAUUGGGUUUAAAGGGAGCGUAGGUGGGUUGUUAAGUCAGAUGGUAAAGUUUGGGGCUCAACCGUAAAAUUGCAAUUGAUACUGGCAGUCUUGAGUACAGUUGAGGUAGGCGGAAUUCGUGGUGUAGCGGUGAAAUGCUUAGAUAUCACGAAGAACUCCGAUUGCGAAGGCAGCUUACUAAACUGCAACUGACAUUGAUGCUCGAAAGUGUGGGUAUCAAACAGGAUUAGAUACCCGAGUAGUC